AUGCUUAAGCAGCACAUACACUAAGAUUGGAACAACGCAGAGAAGCUGAGCAUGGCCCCUGCACAGGAGAACGUACACAUUCAGGAAGGAUUCCAUAUUUUU
RNAcentral lists this small nuclear RNA (102 nucleotides) under Aotus nancymaae (Ma's night monkey). The record is from RNAcentral. Lineage: Eukaryota; Metazoa; Chordata; Mammalia; Primates; Aotidae.